This 313-nucleotide unclassified non-coding RNA is filed under the name plant metagenome. Its description in RNAcentral is "partial contains 5.8S ribosomal RNA, internal transcribed spacer 2, and large subunit ribosomal RNA". The stretch from base 1 to 105 matches the Rfam family "5.8S ribosomal RNA", at positions 50 to 154 of the family's 154-position model. The record is from RNAcentral.
GAAAUGCGAUAAGUAAUGUGAAUUGCGGAAUUCCGUGAAUCAUCGAAUCUUUGAACGCACAUUGCGCCCUCUGGCAUUCCGGGGGGCAUGCCUGUCCGAGCGUCAUUACGCACCCUCAAGCCCGGCUUGUGUGAUGGGCCCCGGCGUCUCGUUCGCGAGACGGGCCCGAAAGGCAGCGGCGGCGUCGACCCGAUGAGCCCGAGCGUAUGGGGACUUCUGUCACACGUUCGCGGUGCGGACCGGCGCCUGCUUUGACUUUUCUGAUUAUCCAGGUUGACCUCGGAUCAGGUAGGGAUACCCGCUGAACUUAAGC